Molecule: non-coding RNA, 46 nt
Organism: Acyrthosiphon pisum (pea aphid)
Lineage: Eukaryota; Metazoa; Arthropoda; Insecta; Hemiptera; Aphididae
Source: Rfam
AAAAAGGCCCUUAUCAGGGCCACCAAAAAGUACUUAUAUUCUGGCG